This 493-nucleotide ribosomal RNA is filed under the name uncultured bacterium. Its description in RNAcentral is "partial 16S ribosomal RNA". It matches the Rfam family "Bacterial small subunit ribosomal RNA", at positions 30 to 507 of the family's 1533-position model. The record is from RNAcentral.
AGUGAACGCUGGCGGUAGGCCUAACACAUGCAAGUCGAACGGCAGCACAGUAAGAGCUUGCUCUUACGAGUGGCGAGUGGCGGACGGGUGAGGAAUACAUCGGAAUCUACUUUUUCGUGGGGGAUAACGUAGGGAAACUUACGCUAAUACCGCAUACGACCUACGGGUGAAAGCAGGGGAUCUUCGGACCUUGCGCGAUUGAAUGAGCCGAUGUCGGAUUAGCUAGUUGGCGGGGUAAAGGCCCACCAAGGCGACGAUCCGUAGCUGGCCCGAGAGGAUGAAAGGCCACCGGGGGACAGAGACACGGACCAGGAUCAGCCGUGCGGCAGCAGUGGGGAAUCUGCAGAAAUGGACGGAAGUUGGAAGGAGCAAUGCAGAGUGAGUGAGGAGGGCCAGCGGAUCGCAAAGCUCUGGUAAUCGGGAAGAAAGGACAGCGUGCGAAUAGUGAGAAGGAGUGAGCGGAUCGGAAUAGAAAGCGACGGCGAGCUACGUG